RNAcentral lists this ribosomal RNA (474 nucleotides) under uncultured bacterium. RNAcentral's name for it is "SSU rRNA". It matches the Rfam family "Bacterial small subunit ribosomal RNA", at positions 26 to 521 of the family's 1533-position model. The record is from RNAcentral.
AGAACGAACGCUGGCGGCAGGCUUAACACAUGCAAGUCGAACGCUCGUAGCAAUACGGGAGUGGCAGACGGGUGAGUAACGCGUGGGAACAUACCCUCCGGUUCGGAAUAGCUCAGGGAAACUUGGAUUAAUACCGGAUACGGCUGAGAGGCGAAAGAUUUAUCGCCGGAGGAUUGGCCCGCGUUCGAUUAGCUUGUUGGUGAGGUAACGGCUCACCAAGGCUAUGAUCGAUAGCUGGUCUGAGAGGAUGAUCAGCCACAUUGGGACUGAGACACGGCCCAAACUCCUACGGGAGGCAGCAGUGGGGAAUUUUGGACAAUGGGCGCAAGCCUGAUCCAGCCAUGCCGCGUGCAGGAUGAAGGCCUUCGGGUUGUAAACUGCUUUUGUACGGAACGAAAGGCUUUCUCUAAUAAAGAGGCUCAUGACGGUACCGUAAGAAUAAGCACCGGCUAACUACGCGCCAGCAGCCGCGGU